UCUAAUGGGGCUGAUCUGGGUCCCAACUCUGAAUCCUGUGCUUGAGGGUCUCCUUUCCUGUUCUUGCCCCAGGGUUAGGCACCCCAAAGAUUCCACCAAUUCCUGUACGGGCAACAUAUACUUUAAAAAAUUUACGGCUGGGUGCAGUGGCUCACACCUGUAAUCCCAGCACUUUGAGAGGCCAAGGCCGGAGGAUUGAUUGAGUCCCAGAAUUUGAGGCCAGCCUGGGCAACGUGACGAAACCCCAUCUCUACGAAAAUUACAAAAAUUAGCUGGCAUGGUGGUGCAUGCCUGUAGUCACAGCUACUUGGGAGACUGAGGUUGGAGGAUCGCUUGAGCCUGGGAGGUCAUGGCUGCAGAGAGCCAUGAUCAUGCCACUGCAUUCCAGCCUGGGCAACAGAGCAAGACCCUGUCUCAGAGAAGAAACAAAAAUUACUAUUACCCCACCUACUUCUGAAAAAAGGAUAUGAGUCUAUGGCUUACCAAUACAAAACUUAAAGAGGAAGAAACCAAAAUCUGAGUAUAAGGAUAAAAGAGCCAAGCAGAAGGAUAGUGAACUCAGGGACAUCAGGGUAGGGAAAGCUGCAGCAGUGAUGGAGCACAAGGCUUUGCUAUGAGCUUCCUGGAAGCCAAUGUAAAGAAGAAACUGAGCUCAUUUGCUUGCUAAAAAACACCAGAUCAUCAGGGAGACAUCCUUUCCCCGGUCUUGAGCUAGAAGAGGAUAUUUGCUGGAUGGGUCUUUCUAAAAGGGUCAAAGUACUGGCUGGUGGGAGGGGUCACCAGCAGCAGGUUUGCCCAACACACGGAAACGCUCCUCCCUGCAUUGCUGCCUCCCCAUCGAGCCUCCUUGGCAGAUAGGGAUCUCAGGCAGAGUCGCUUUGUAAAGGCUAUUCCAGGGGGCUCGGGCCAGGGCUGUGUGACAUGAGAGUAGCUCAGAGGGACUUGCUGUGGGGGUGGCCCUGACAUACAGGGAUGAGAGAGGAGUGCCACCCCGAGCUUACCCUUCUGGGACAUGACCCCCUGGACUGGCUGCUGAAUUUGUGCAACAGCAGAGGAGUCACAGUUGAUUUUCUGGCCCUGCCAGCACCUGCGGGGCAGGUGUUUUCUGUGACAGUUGGAAAUAGGCCCAUGUUCUUCACUCUUUCAUCCAGCAAGUGCUUUCCAGCUUAUGCCAGGCCCUGGGCUGAGUACUGUGGGCACAUUGGGCACCAUGGCAGACACAAUGCCUGUGGUGAUAACUGCCACCCAGAAAAUAGCCAGGUGCUGCAGGAGCCCAGAGGGAGACAUGGGGAUGACCAGGAAGCCUGGGGGUGGCAGGGAAAGCUUUCUGCAGGUAAUGUGGGAGCUGAGAUUUGAAAAAUGGAGAGAAGUUAGCCCAGUGGAAAAGGAGAGCAAGAACAGCAGGUGGUGGGAACAGCAUGCGCCCAGGCCUAGAGCCAGGACACUGUGUGCUAAGUUUGGGGAAGAUGAUGGAAGGAGAUGCUGUUGGAUGAGGUGGAAGGGGAGGGGGACCGGGCCAGCACAGGUGGUGCACACCUCACCACAGAGCGUGGCUUCUACCGUGAAAGGGGAGGGAGGGCCAGGCAGGGACAGGAGGGACCAGGGUGACGUGGAAUGGGGAGAAGGCAGAGUCCACCUAGCUUUUGCCCACAUAGAUGGCCUCCCGGCCUAUGGGUUGAGGGCAGCCGACUCCUGCCUCCCAACCUGUUCACAUGGCUACUACCUGGAGCUGUCCUUCUGGAGACACCUGAGGACGACCAGAAACCAUAACGAGGACGCCUUUUCACAUCCUUCGCAUGGCAGGAUCCUUCUCCCCACUGCAUAGAUGUGGAAACUGACCUCAAGAUGACUGUUUUAAAGCUAUGUGGGCUGGGGGCAGUGGCUCACACCUAUAAUCCCAGCACUUUGGGAGGCUGAGGUGGGCAGAUCGCUUGAGCCCAGGAGUUCGAGACCAGCCUGAACAACAUGGCAAAACCCUGUCUCUGCAAAAAAUAAAAAAUUAGCCGGGUGUGAUUGCCCAUGCCUGU
This 2027-nucleotide long non-coding RNA is filed under the name Homo sapiens (human). Its description in RNAcentral is "non-protein coding lnc-ITIH4-2:1". The record is from RNAcentral. Lineage: Eukaryota; Metazoa; Chordata; Mammalia; Primates; Hominidae.